CGGACGGGUGAGUAAUGCUUGGGAAUCUAGCUUAUGGAGGGGGAUAACUACGGGAAACUGUAGCUAAUACCGCGUAAUAUCGAAAGAUUAAAGUGUGGGACCUUCGGGCCACAUGCCAUAGGAUGAGCCCAAGUGGGAUUAGGUAGUUGGUGAGGUAAAGGCUCACCAAGCCGACGACCUCUAGCUGGUCUGAGAGGAUGACCAGCCACACUGGGACUGAGACACGGCCCAG
RNAcentral lists this ribosomal RNA (232 nucleotides) under uncultured bacterium. RNAcentral's name for it is "partial 16S ribosomal RNA". It matches the Rfam family "Bacterial small subunit ribosomal RNA", at positions 99 to 334 of the family's 1533-position model. The record is from RNAcentral.